AUUCCUGGGGAGGAACAAUCCACAAUACACACCACUGCUCUCCACCUGUCCUCUGACUUCUAGUGACCCUUUGCCACCACCCAUCCAGUGGUGCUGAUGGAACUGGUUGUGGUUCAUGCUGCAAACGAGGUCGCUGAGAUGGCUCCACGCGCUGACAGCACACAAGACUGUGGCAUGGCAGAGAAAUGAGUAGCUCUUGGGAGGAGGCUGCCUUCUCGCUACAACCCUGGGAUAGGAGCCUGGUAUUGAGUGUGUGUGCACGUGUGCAGCAACAGGCUAAAGCCUUGCCGGUGGACAGGCAUCAGUAAAUGCUCCUGGGCUGGAUAUGAAGAGCAGUGGGGGAGUGAACUCCCUGCUCGCAGCUGAGGAAGAAGAAACGUUGUACUUCUCCCAGGCUGGAUCCUGUACACAGGUCACCCAAUUCCCACCAAGCUUCUUUGGCUCCAGCCUGGACUUCGCUUCCUCUCCCAUAGCUGAUAUCCUUCACGCUUGUGUGCCAUUUUGAAGCGAUCAUGGUGAAGGAAUUUUGUCUGCUCUUAACAGGCUUAGAGGUAUUUUGAGUGCGCCGGGGAGACAUUGCUUAGUACGGUCCACCUACAGAGAUAAUUCAGGGAACGAAGAUUCAGCUUGUCCUGCAAAAUCAGGAGUUCAAUUGGGGUUCAGGAGUUGUCCUCAGUCAGCAGGGGCUCUCCUGGCAUUUUCAGUGAGAUUUUUUUUUUGUAGCGUAUGACUCUGAAGUGCUCUAAUCACAGGAAAGGACAACCGGAAACCUCCCCUCAGGAGAACUGGUCAGUGGGAAGGGCUGGCCUAGCAGAAGCAAACAAAAAAAUGUUUUAAUUGCCUGAGAGGGAAGGAGGGAGGGAGAGCUGGCGGUGUGGCGCUCAUUGAGACUGCUGAAUGUCCCUAGGAGGUCAGAGGAGCGUGGUGGGAUUCUGGUGCUCUGCGCCAUUUUCGUGUUUAUCUUGUGAGUAAUCUUUUGUUGAACAGCCGGAUCCUCUGCACUCCAGGAACAUGAACAUCUGAACACUGUGCAGCAUUCCAGGAUAUUGCCACCAACUGUGCUUCAUACUCAAGGAAACUUCAAAAGCCUGUAUUUACUCACCCCUCUUUGUAGGACUGCAGUAGCACAUUUAGCUCUGAAGGCACUGUGAUAUUUGUGUCUAAACCAUGAACCCUGAGUUGGAAAAUCUCUGAAACAAUCAAAAGUAACUGCUACGAGGUGAACAUCCAUCUGGAACCCUGCACUUGGUGCAUGCAGCUUGCUGCUUCGUCACUUUGGGUCUGGGUUUUACUUCCUUUUUGCAGUUUUUGUGCUUUGUUCUCUCAUCAUGAGAGAUCUGGAUAGCUCCUGGUACAGGGAGUCUUCUAGGCAGUCGAGGACUUCCUGAGAGUGGCAACAUGAACACAUGGGAUGAGAUCAUGUUCUCCCUCUGGCCUUACGGCUUCCAACAGAGCUGCUGUAUCUGAAAGUUUUGGGGCUGGAUGUGUCAGACGGGCGUGCUGAGGAGAUGAUACAGAGUUCUGCUGCACUAAUCCCUCUCCAGAAUGGUACCAGAACAGUAACUUGCUACAGCAGCUUAGACUUUGUGCAUUAGACGGUCUUACUAAUCACACUGAGGUUGUUCAAUUUCUGUAGUGAUAUGAGUAUAAGGAAUACUUCCCUUGUCACAGCAGUUAUUGAUGUUACUGGAGGGACAUUGUACAUCCAAAAUAACACCAGCCAAAACAAGAAAGGUGUUCAGAUGAGAAUAGGACUGUUUAGGAGGAGACUGUGUGUGUGUUCAAAUUCAGCUUAUUUCAGUGCAGAUUUCCAGUGCUAACAAGUGAACUGAUUUGUUAUAGAAAAGCUGCUGGAAAUAAUCAUCAGAACUGAUGAUCCGUUCUGCAUUUGGUUUUCUUAAUAUGUAAAAUAUGGAGAAAUACAACAAAAUAUUUGGAAUUGGAGGAAAUUCUAAUGCCUCUGUGCUGUCUUGACAGCAAUUAUCUCAGCACACUGUGUAUAAAGUUUCCUAGAAAUAUCCAACUGUUAAUGAUACGUUUAAGCUCCUGUACUUCGUAAUGUCAAAUGAUCCAUCAAUUGAAAUUAGUAGAUUUUGAUCCCUGUGGUGUCAGAGAGGAAUAAUUAAAAUAGAUGAUAGAAGGCUUGUAGCAUCUAAAUGGUGUGUUCAAAACCAGUGCUGGCCAGUGAACGGCUACCAAAAGCCUAUAAAUGAAGUCAGUUCAGCUCAGCUCAGGCUUAUUGGAAUGGGAUAGAGGCCCAUCCCUGCCUUUUGCCGGGUUGAGUGUUGAGAAGUGGAGACAACCUGUGUCUUACCAGGACCUUUCUGUAGCAGUGUAGACGUGGAGUAGGGGAAUCUUGUUCACCCUAUCUUGUGUGUUGGUUCUGUAAAAUACUGAUGCAACUCAAGCUGAAUGUUACAGGUGACCCAGGGUGAGAGUUACUUCUGUCUGGAAGAAGGACUUUCUUCCUCUUCAUCUCCUUCAUAGCUAUGUAUAUUCUGUCCUUGCUUUGUUUAUGUCCUCUUGAGUUGAUUUACUUCAUUUAUUAAUCUAGUUAUCCCUCACCCACUCCAGAAAGAAAAAAGUAAAGAGUUUUCCACUGACUAAGUCAUGUGAAUCAAUUCAGGAAGGACUCUAACAAGUACUGAGGAAGUGGAAACCUGUGGCAAAAAGCAGCAAGGAGAAAAAAGCAGGGUGACAGAGGGUGUUGAGAUUCACUUUGCAGGAAUAGCUACUUGAGAGUUCUGAUGAGAGCAGUAUGACAAAAAUACUAAGAAAAGAAGAUGGUCCAACUCUGAUUUUAAUUAUGUUUUAUUUCAGCAUUUGGCAUUUGGAAGUUCUCAGAGAUCUGCAUCUGAGGACAUAGUGUAGGUGACUGUGCAGGAGGAAAACUGAGGUAAGGUGAAUACAGCUGUGGAAUCACAAUGGAAUUUUGUAGAGGCUGAACUCAAUACAUGUAGGUACCUGAACUCUCUGAACAGGUGCUUGAUGGAUGUCUUAACUCUUGACGAAAUGAAAGUCCUUGCAUGUAAGUGAAACCUUCUGUAUAGGAUGUUAACUUAGUUUAGUGCUCCUCUUAUUUAAGUAGAGAACAUAGCUGACUAACUUUAAAAUAUAUUAAAAUCUAAAUAUAAGAUUUCAUCAGAUGUCUAGAUUAGUAAGUGGCAUGAUGAAAUAUAGAGUGUACUGAAGUGUAUGGUGUUAAGACCCAAAAUCCACACUGUGUGCCUUUUAUGAUAUCUUCCUCUCUGCCUGCCAUCCUUCUUCCCUCUACAGUUUGAUCCUGUGAGCUGAAAAGAGUACUAGAUGUGCUCUUAGAGUGUAUCCUCUGGUUUAGUUUUGUCCUAAAGGAAUCCAGUUCGUGCACUCUGAGACCAUCUACAGUGUAAAUCAAAAUACUGUUGGUGGGUACUACCAGAUUUGUUUCUAAUAUGGGUAUCUCUUCCAUAUUGCUAAUGGAGGCACACUCUUUUUCUGAUGAUGUUACUUUAAAAACUAACAUCAGAAAAUACAGUUAAAAUAAAAAUGCUUUCUUUUUCUCAUGCAUUGCUGUGUCUUAUUUUGGAGACAUUGAGGAGCCCUGGGUCUGUUUUGCAAAGUGUGUAGAUUCUGGCAACGGAGGAUUAACGUUUGCUCCUACAAACUUCUGGCAGCAUUUGGAAUUUGUUGUAGUACAUGGUAACCAACAACAUAUGAGAAGGUCUCCAGGCUUGGCUCCCAACAGGUAAACUAAGUGGAAUGGAGUCAAAAUGGAGUUUAAUCAUCACUGUAAGUAUAGGGAAAUGAAAAGAAAUACAGCCCUGAGGAAGCUUUUCUGAAGUCUCCAGCAAAAUUGGUGUUUUAAGAAUAUAGAUCAAUUCCUUUACUGUGCAAUAUUUUAUGAUAUAAUUACGUAACACCUGAUAGAAUACAACGGGAUAUUCUGCCAUGACUUGAGUUGGAGUUAGCUAGACUCUGGUAAAGAAAUCUGGGUAGAAUGACCGUAAUUGUUGCCAUUAAAGGCAAAUCUUUCUUUCUCUCUUUUUUUUUAAGUCCUCAAAGAAGGAAAUGAGGGGUUCACACUAGACGUUAUGGAGAUGCUACAGUGCUGCUUGUACAAUAGAUGCAUUUGGAUCAGUAAUUUCAGUGUAAUCCUUAACACUUUUUUUUUUUUCCUAAACCAGCAGAACAAGAAUACGUUGCUGUGACCUGCUUACCAUCUUGGCAAUAAAUUGCUAGCUUUGGGGGGUCUACAAUUCUUUGUUUGUUAUAUGUAGAUUCAUAGCUACAGAUUCCAGCUGGGAGUUAGAAGACCUACCCAUUCACACGCACAAGAAAAUACAGCAUUUUAGAAGAGCAGUUGCUAUUCCACUUAGUACUUCUAAGUGUUACUGUACUACAAACAAACAAUACCACUGGGCAUACAGCUUGCAAAUCUUGCUCUCAGCUAGUCCAGCUGAGGGAUUACUCACAUACUGAUGCUGAAAGAGCUGUGUAUUGCAGAUUUUUAAUAAAAGCUUUCUUCACUUUA
Molecule: long non-coding RNA, 4510 nt
Organism: Gallus gallus (chicken)
Lineage: Eukaryota; Metazoa; Chordata; Aves; Galliformes; Phasianidae
Exons: 6
Source: RefSeq, a predicted model, not a curated record